RNAcentral lists this ribosomal RNA (373 nucleotides) under uncultured organism. Its description in RNAcentral is "partial 16S ribosomal RNA". It matches the Rfam family "Bacterial small subunit ribosomal RNA", at positions 527 to 896 of the family's 1533-position model. The record is from RNAcentral.
GUAGGUGGCAAGCGUUGUCCGGAAUCAUUGGGCGUAAAGCGCGCGCAGGCGGUCCUUUAAGUCUGAUGUGAAAGCCCACGGCUCAACCGUGGAGGGUCAUUGGAAACUGGGGGACUUGAGUACAGAAGAGGAAAGCGGAAUUCCAAGUGUAGCGGUGAAAUGCGUAGAGAUUUGGAGGAACACCAGUGGCGAAGGCGGCUUUCUGGUCUGUAACUGACGCUGAGGCGCGAAAGCGUGGGGAGCAAACAGGGAUUAGAUACCCUGGUAGUCCACGCCGUAAACGAUGAGUGCUAAGUGUUAGGGGGUUUCCCGCCCCUUAGUGCUGCAGCUAACGCAUUAAGCACUCCGCCUGGGGAGUACAGCCGCAAGGCUG